UACGAAGGGGGCUAGCGUUGCUCGGAAUUACUGGGCGUAAAGCGCACGUAGGCGGCUUGUUAAGUCGGGGGUGAAAUCCUGGAGCUCAACUCCAGAACUGCCUUCGAUACUGGCGAUCUCGAGUUCGGGAGAGGUGAGUGGAACUGCGAGUGUAGAGGUGAAAUUCGUAGAUAUUCGCAAGAACACCAGUGGCGAAGGCGGCGCACUGGCUCGGUACUGACGCUGAGGUGCGAAAGCGUGGGGAGCAAACAGG
RNAcentral lists this ribosomal RNA (253 nucleotides) under uncultured bacterium. Its description in RNAcentral is "partial 16S ribosomal RNA". It matches the Rfam family "Bacterial small subunit ribosomal RNA", at positions 524 to 776 of the family's 1533-position model. The record is from RNAcentral.